UACGAAGGGGGCUAGCGUUGUUCGGAACCACUGGGCGUAAAGGGCGCGUAGGCGGCUUUAUAAGUCGGGGGUGAAAGCCUGUGGCUCAACCACAGAAUUGCCUUCGAUACUGUAGAGCUUGAGACCGGAAGAGGUAAGUGGAACUGCGAGUGUAGAGGUGAAAUUCGUAGAUAUUCGCAAGAACACCAGUGGCGAAGGCGGCUUACUGGUCCGGUUCUGACGCUGAGGCGCGAAAGCGUGGGGAGCAAACAGG
This 253-nucleotide ribosomal RNA is filed under the name uncultured bacterium. Its description in RNAcentral is "partial 16S ribosomal RNA". It matches the Rfam family "Bacterial small subunit ribosomal RNA", at positions 524 to 776 of the family's 1533-position model. The record is from RNAcentral.